Molecule: ribosomal RNA, 250 nt
Filed under: uncultured bacterium
Lineage: Bacteria
Description: partial 16S ribosomal RNA
Rfam family: Bacterial small subunit ribosomal RNA
Source: RNAcentral
UACGAAGGGUGCUAGCGUUACUCGGAAUCACUGGGCGUAAAGGGCGCGUAGGCGGCUUUCUAAGUUGGAAGUGAAAUCCCAUGGCUUAACCAUGGAAUAGCUUUCAAGACUGGAAAACUAGAGUAUGGUAGAGGGUAGUGGAAUUCCUGGUGUAGAGGUGAAAUUCGUAGAUAUCAGGAGGAACACCGGUGGCGAAGGCGGCUACCUGGGCCAUUACUGACGCUGAGGCGCGAAAGCAUGGGGAGCAAAC